UAGCUAAUACCGCAUAAUGUCGCAAGACCAAAGUGGGGGACCUUCGGGCCUCAUGCCAUCAGAUGUGCCCAGAUGGGAUUAGCUAUAGGUGGGGUAACGCUCACCUAGGCGACGAUCCUAGCUGUUUUAGAGGAUGACCAGCCCUCACUUGGUACUAGAACCGGUUCAGAAUCCUUACCGGAGGCAGCAGUGGGGAUAUUUGCUCAAUGGGCGCAAGCCUGAUGCAGCCAUGCUCGGCGUGUUGUGAAGAAGACUUUCGAGUUGUAAGCACUUUCAGCGGGGAGGAAGGCGUGUAGGAUAAAUAACCUUGGCGAUUGACGUUACCCGCCAGAAGAAGCACCGGCUUAACUCCGUGCCCAGCAGGCCGCCGGUAAUACGGAGGGUGCAGGCGUAAUCGGAAUUACUGGGCGUUAAAGCGCACGCAGGCGGUCUGUCAAGUCGGAUGUGAAAUCCCCGGGCUCAACUGGGAACUGCAUUCGAAACUGGCAGGCUAGAGUCUUGUAGAGGGGGGUAGAAUUCCAGGUGUAGCGGUGAAAUGCGUAGAGAUCUGGAGGAAUACCGGUGGCGAAGGCGGCCCCCUGGACAAAGACUGACGCUCAGGUGCGAAAGCGUGGGGAGCAAACAGGAUUAGAUACCCUGGUAGUCCACGCCGUAAACGAUGUCGAUUUGGAGGUUGUGCCCUUGAGGCGUGGCUUCCGGAGCUAACGCGUUAAAUCGACCGCCUGGGGAGUACGGCCGCAAGGUUAAAACUCAAAUGAAUUGACGGGGGCCCGCACAAGCGGUGGAGCAUGUGGUUUAAUUCGAUGCAACGCGAAGAACCUUACCUGGUCUUGACAUCCACAGAACUUUCCAGAGAUGGAUUGGUGCCUUCGGGAACUGUGAGACAGGUGCUGCAUGGCUGUCGUCAGCUCGUGUUGUGAAAUGUUGGGUUAAGUCCCGCAACGAGCGCAACCCUUAUCCUUUGUUGCCAGCGGUUAGGCCGGGAACUCAAAGGAGACUGCCAGUGAUAAACUGGAGGAAGGUGGGGAUGACGUCAAGUCAUCAUGGCCCUUACGACCAGGGCUACACACGUGCUACAAUGGCAUAUACAAAGAGAAGCGACCUCGCGAGAGCAAGCGGACCUCAUAAAGUAUGUCGUAGUCCGGAUUGGAGUCUGCAACUCGACUCCAUGAAGUCGGAAUCGCUAGUAAUCGUAGAUCAGAAUGCUACGGUGAAUACGUUCCCUAGCGUUGGACCCAGGGUCAGUAAGUCGUAACAAGGUAGCCGUAGAGUUUGAUCCUGGCUCAGCAAGUCGUAACAAGGUAACCGUUAGGUUACG
RNAcentral lists this ribosomal RNA (1318 nucleotides) under Klebsiella pneumoniae. RNAcentral's name for it is "bacterial SSU rRNA". It matches the Rfam family "Bacterial small subunit ribosomal RNA", at positions 160 to 1512 of the family's 1533-position model. Lineage: Bacteria; Pseudomonadati; Pseudomonadota; Gammaproteobacteria; Enterobacterales; Enterobacteriaceae. The record is from RNAcentral.